This is a long non-coding RNA of Gigantopelta aegis, 553 nucleotides long. RefSeq lists it as uncharacterized. Lineage: Eukaryota; Metazoa; Mollusca; Gastropoda; Neomphalida; Peltospiridae. The record is from RefSeq and is a predicted model, not a curated record. The transcript has 3 exons.
GGUAUAAUAGCCCCAUGUUAGUGAAGACUAUUUUAUCAGUGCGAACCUGUUAUUUGGGAGUAGUCUCGAUCACUGCGAUGGCAUUCUAAGCAUUCCACGCACGUGACAGUGAAUGGAGUAGCAGGAUGUACAUCUGUAUAGUGGUCAACUUACUUCACAUACUAAAAAUAAAACAGGACACAGAGAGCUGACACGCGGCCUGAUGGGAAGUGUUCUGUGUAUCAUUUGACGCGAGUCAUCGACACGUAACGUUCGCCAAAUCGACCAGGAGAAGAAAUUUAAACGUCUUUGUUUCAUGGCUAAGAGAAACACCGAAGAAUCACACAACAGCAGAAAUUCGUUGACAAACGUGACAACGAACGGCCAUAUUCCAACCGAAGCGGACAACAUCAGACGGCGGUACAGCACGUACCAGGGUUGGAAUGGCGAGAAAUCCUCCCUACAGUUAGCUAUAUCCGGAUUCAAGUACACCGGAAAUGACGACAAAGUCGUAUGUGAAACGUGCGGCCUACAACUGUACAACUGGCUCGAGUCGUAUGACGUGAUCGAAGUA